GCCAGCAGAGGACAAGGGCAGCAGGCAGCUACCUGGCAGGUGUGGAGUGACAGAGGAAUCAGGAAGCAGUCUCUUCUCUGCGCUGUCUUCUGGCUGAAAGAAAAGGGCUGGUGCUGAAGCAUGGAGUAACCAGAGGAUCAGUUAAGGAAAGCAGAGGGCUCUUUGCUGAAGAAAGCACGGCACCAGUCGCAGAGGUCUUUGCAGCCUCUCAGAGACACUUCUGGAGGAGCACCAAGCCACCUCAUACUCUGGCUCUGCUAAUCUCAGCACAGCCUGAAUGCCUGUGAGCAAGAGAGCACCUGGGGCCACCAAAGCUUCUCCCCACAAUGCUCUACAGAGGCAGCGUACAGGAAAAUCACGAAUCACUCCGUCUCACAGAUCAGAGCCUCUGGAGGUUUUAGUGAUUGGCUUCCUCUGAGCAAUGAGAAUGACGCAAAGUCAUCAAUAUAACGUCCAACAGCUGGGCUUUUUGUGACCUAGGUACUUCUACCAGGCCUCCUGUCCUUUGGCCAUACACCACCCUCACUCUUCCUCAAAUGUGGUCCUGCCUCAGGGUCAUUGCACAUCUACUCCUUCUACUUAAAAUGUCUCUCAUCCCUUUAUACAUCUGACGAGCUGCUGUUUUUCCUUGAACAUCUGCUUCAGGUACCAUCUCCUUCAUGAAUAUCUCUUGAUCCCAAGCCAGUGGCCCCUGGGGUCCCCAAGGCACAUGAGGUUUCAUUUCCUGUUAAUGUUAUUACUUUGAUUUUCAUUGUGCUUUUCUGUGCCUGUCCCUCUAUGAACCCUGAGUCCCUGAGGGCAGAACCAUACUGGUUUAGCUCUAUUCUGUCUGCCCAACCCCUAGUUUAUGAAAGGGGUAGAGUCCAUGUAUGCUGAAUGAAGGAACCAAAUUUCUUUGCUCAGUGACCCAGUUGGCAAGUAAAAUCAGAUAAUUACUAUAUCACCUUUGCUCAUAAUAGAGAGAAGCACAGUCUCCCAAGUGAAAAUUCAUUCAUUCAUUCAACAGUUAUUCAUAGCAUAUCUACCAUUGGCCACAUAUUUAGAGACAAAGUAGUAGUUCAUUUAUUCCUGAUGAUGCCCUAGGACAGGUAUUAUAUGCAGGUACACACACACACACACACACACACACACACACACACACACACACUCUGUAUGGUGGAAGAGAUGCCACCCAAGAGACAUUCAUGAAGAACGUGUCUAAAUGAGAAUACAUGGUCAAGGGUAUGACAAGAGGUGACAGAGAUAACAGCACACCCAAAUGCUACCAAUUGGGAACUUGUAGCACAGAACAGAAAACUCUGCAGGGUAGGGAGAGAGACAGGACCAGAUGUGCCCUGGAAGACUUCUGCCAGUUGAUCUGGAUGCACAGGCCAUCUGUCCUAUGGCCCUUGACAUAGUGAGCUCACUAAGGUGAUCUUGACAACACCAUCCUACCAUAGUUCCAAAGACCAUAGAUCCUUUUGCCCUGGAAGGUGAGCUAGCUCAGGGUGUACCUCCAUAUCUCAUCUCUCCCUACUCUCCCUGGUAUGGGCAGAAAUGUUAUGUUGCCCCCUGCAAUUCAUAAUGUUGAAGUUUCAAUGUGGCUGUAUUUGGAGAUGAAGCCUCUAGGAAAGUAAUUCAGGUUAAAUGAGGUCAUAAAGAUAGAGCUGUAGUAUGACAGGGUUAGUGUCCUUCAAGGAAAAGAGACCAAGCCAGUCUCUCUCCCCUGCACACACAAAGAAGUGGUCAUAUGAGUGCAGUAGGGGACAGUGGCGGUCAGCAAUGUAAAGGGAAAGGCCUUAUCAGAUGUCAACCCUGCUGGCACCUUGAGCUGGAGCUUCCAGUCCCCAGAACUGUUUUUAAGCCACCAAGCCUACAGCACUUUGUGAUGGCUGUCUGAGCAGAUAAGCACCCUCCCCAGGAUCAGGCUGUGGUCUUAGAAGGCUCUGGAAGCAAGGCCCUCCUUGUGAGAUGAGCCUCCAAGUCAGACUCUAGGGCACCCUCUGAGGCUGUUAGAGGGGAAGGCAAGGUGAGGCUGUCAGAGGCCUGCAGAGAUCCUGCUAGCAUAUUGUGUUUGCUUGUCUGAGUUUAUGCAGCACAUGAGCCCUGUCCUUUUUACCCCUCCUUUCCUUUCCCUCUUUCUCUUAAUUCAUUUCUCCAUUCCUCCUUUAUUCCCUCUUUCCUCUCUUCCCUCCUUCCCACUGACUGUUCCCUCAGCCAGGCCUCUUCCCAUCUUCAUGGGGAAUAUUAGUUCUCCCCACCAUAAAUGCAAGUAUAUGGUGCCGGAGUAUGGGAUGCUCCUAGAACUGAGGUCCAAUCCUGAUUUUGCUUCUUUGCUAUUUGAUUUACAGCCUGAUGAGCAUAUGCUCAGAGCCCUGCAUUCAUCUUCUUGUGCACUGCAUGCAUAACUGUCUCAGAGAUCUCUGGGCGGGGUGGUAAGAUGAUGAUUGUUAGGUGCUUAAUAGGUAUCUGGAACAUAGGGUGGUGGCCUAUGCUGAGGGCGGACUGCUGCUGCUCCUGAGGCUAUGGGCCAAGUUUUGUGCUAUGUUAGAAGGUAUAGAAAUAAGUAGGCCCUAGCCCUUCCCCAUGGUUUCCAUGUUUGUGCUUCAUCUGUUUGAUAGGAAAUCUAUUCUCAGGGUCCCCAUCUGGUAUUAAAAGGCUCAGAUUAGUUAAGGAAGGGAAUGUGGUUGGCACCUGAUUAUGUGCAAUUCAGCACUCUGCUCACGGCUGUGUUGUACCAUUUCCCAAAUGUUCUGCAUGCAUAAGUCUGGCCUCCUCAAAUAGACUGGGAGCUUUUAGAAAGGCAAAGGCCAAGGCUCCUCCUGCUUUGUGUACACCCCCUGCCCCAUCCCUGUGCAGCUCAGCCUUGUCCAGAACAUUCUAAGUAUUCCACAAAUAUACACACUCAGAUCGCUUAGGCUGGGAAA
This is a long non-coding RNA of Cavia porcellus (domestic guinea pig), 2906 nucleotides long. RefSeq lists it as uncharacterized. NCBI's taxonomy places the organism in Eukaryota, Metazoa, Chordata, Mammalia, Rodentia, Caviidae. The record is from RefSeq and is a predicted model, not a curated record. The transcript has 2 exons.